UGGGGAAUAUUGCGCAAUGGGGGGAACCCUGACGCAGCCAUGCCGCGUGAAUGAAGAAGGCCUUAGGGUUGUAAAGUUCUUUCGGUAUUGAGGAAGGUUGAUGUGUUAACAGCACAUCAAAUUGACGUUAAAUACAGAAGAAGCACCGGCUAACUCCGUGCCAGCAGCCGCGGUAAUACGGAGGGUGCGAGCGUUAAUCGGAAUAACUGGGCGUAAAGGGCACGCAGGCGGUUAUUUAAGUGAGGUGUGAAAGCCCUGGGCUUAACCUAGGAAUUGCAUUUCAGACUGGGUAACUAGAGUACUUUAGGGAGGGGUAGAAUUCCACGUGUAGCGGUGAAAUGCGUAGAGAUGUGGAGGAAUACCGAAGGCGAAGGCAGCCCCUUGGGAAUGUACUGACGCUCAUGUGCGAAAGCGUGGGGAGCAAACAGGAUUAGAUACCCUGGUAGUCCACGCUGUAAACGCUGUCGAUUUGGGGGUUGGGGUUUAACUCUGGCGCCCGUAGCUAACGUGAUAAAUCGACCGCCUGGGGAGUACGGCCGCAAGGUUA
This 547-nucleotide ribosomal RNA is filed under the name uncultured bacterium. RNAcentral describes it as "bacterial SSU rRNA". It matches the Rfam family "Bacterial small subunit ribosomal RNA", at positions 355 to 896 of the family's 1533-position model. The record is from RNAcentral.